Homo sapiens (human) is the source of this 799-nucleotide long non-coding RNA. RefSeq lists it as uncharacterized. The transcript has 3 exons. The record is from RefSeq and is a predicted model, not a curated record. Lineage: Eukaryota; Metazoa; Chordata; Mammalia; Primates; Hominidae.
UCCAGUGAACCACAUACAGGCCCUACCCUUGUGGCAGUUACAUUCUGGAAGGGAGAGGUGGGCAAAAUUUAUAGUAAGUCAGACAGCGAGAAGUGCUAAGGAGAAAAAUAAAGCUGGGAGGGGAAGUGGUUCCCAUUUUAUAAGGAUGAGCAAAGAAAGCAUCACUGAUGAUGUGCUAUUUGAGCAAAGGCCUGAAAGAAGAGAAAGGGCAAGCCACACAUCUGGGGAAGCACAUGCCAGGUGAAGAGCCCUGCAGAAGUCCAUGAUCAGGAACAAGGAGGCCAGUGUGGCUGAAACAGAGUGGGAGAUAAAGCCACCAACAUGGGCUCUUGAGAAGAUAGGAAAUCCAAAGAAAGAACCCCGGAACACUCCAAUGUUUGGGGGUCAGGAAAAUGAAGAGGAGCCAGCAAAGGACACCACGAAGGGGGCAGCCAGUGAGAUGAGACAAAGGAGGCUCAGAGGAUUAAGUGACCUGCCCGCAGCAACACGGAGAAGAUGUGGUGGAACCAGGGAUCAAAAAUUUGUCCUCUGUGUAUAUAGCGCCUCAACUUUCCAUCACACUUGCCUUCCUGGUGACCUGAUAUCCCAGGAUUUUCACUUACUGCUCUGGGGACACAUUGGUUAAAUCCAAGUGGUUUGCAGGCACUGACUGGCAACAUAACUGUGGUCAAUAGAAGAAUGAUGUACUGAGUGGUGGUCACUUAGAACCAUGCAUCUGCCACCCCUCGAGGCUGGGCCAUGAAGAAGGCAUGGCUCGGCUGGCACGGUGGCUCACACCUGUAAUUCCAGCAAUUUGGGA